This 148-nucleotide signal recognition particle RNA is filed under the name Chlorocebus sabaeus (green monkey). RNAcentral describes it as "Metazoan signal recognition particle RNA". It matches the Rfam family "Metazoan signal recognition particle RNA". Rfam says of the family: The signal recognition particle (SRP) is a universally conserved ribonucleoprotein. Lineage: Eukaryota; Metazoa; Chordata; Mammalia; Primates; Cercopithecidae. The record is from Rfam by way of RNAcentral.
GCCGGGCGUGGUGGCGGGCGCCUGUAGUCCCAGCUACUCGGGAGGCUGAGGCAGGAGGAUCACUUGAGUCCAGGAAUUUGAAGUUGCAGUGAGUGAUGACCCUGCCACUGCACUCCAGCCUGGGCGACAGAGCAAGACUCUGUCUCAA